RNAcentral lists this ribosomal RNA (432 nucleotides) under uncultured bacterium. RNAcentral's name for it is "partial 16S ribosomal RNA". It matches the Rfam family "Bacterial small subunit ribosomal RNA", at positions 29 to 506 of the family's 1533-position model. The record is from RNAcentral.
AACGAACGCUGGCGGCAUGCCUAACACAUGCAAGUCGAACGAGACCUUCGGGUCUAGUGGCGCACGGGUGCGUAACGCGUGGGAACCUGCCCUUAGGCUCGGAAUAACUCCUCGAAAGGGGUGCUAAUACCGGAUAAUGUCCUCGGACCAAAGAUUUAUCGUCUUUGGAUGGGCCCGCGUUGGAUUAGCUAGUUGGUAGGGUAAAAGCCUACCAAGGCGACGAUCCAUAGCUGGUCUGAGAGGAUGAUCAGCCACACUGGGACUGAGACACGGCCCAGACUCCUACGGGAGGCAGCAGUGGGGAAUAUUGGACAAUGGGCGAAAGCCUGAUCCAGCAAUGCCGCGUGAGUGAUGAAGGCCGUAGGGUUGUAAAGCUCUUUUACCCGGGAUGAUAAUGACAGUACCGGGAGAAUAAGCUCCGGCUAACUCCGU